GGGUCAGUAGGUUGGUCGUGCCACCGGUACGUACUGGUCUCACUGAUUCCUCAUUCCUGAAUAACCGUAAUUCCAUUAAUUUGGUGUUGCGGGGAAACAGGACUGUUACUUUGAAAAAAUUAGAGUGUUUAAAGCAAGCUAACGCUUGAAUACAUUAGCAUGGAAUAAUGAAAUAGGACGAUCGAUCCUAUUUUGUUGGUUUCUAGGAUUGACGUA
This 216-nucleotide ribosomal RNA is filed under the name Glomeromycotina sp. RNAcentral describes it as "partial small subunit ribosomal RNA". The stretch from base 40 to 216 matches the Rfam family "Eukaryotic small subunit ribosomal RNA", at positions 686 to 864 of the family's 1831-position model. Lineage: Eukaryota; Fungi; Glomeromycota. The record is from RNAcentral.